RNAcentral lists this ribosomal RNA (1434 nucleotides) under uncultured bacterium. RNAcentral describes it as "bacterial SSU rRNA". It matches the Rfam family "Bacterial small subunit ribosomal RNA". The record is from RNAcentral.
CUUAACACAUGCAAGUCGAGGGGCAGCAUGGUCUUAGCUUGCUAAGGCCGAUGGCGACCGGCGCACGGGUGAGUAACACGUAUCCAACCUGCCGUCUACUCUUGGACAGCCUUCUGAAAGGAAGAUUAAUACAAGAUGGCAUCAUGAGUCCGCAUGUUCACAUGAUUAAAGGUAUUCCGGUAGACGAUGGGGAUGCGUUCCAUUAGAUAGUAGGCGGGGUAACGGCCCACCUAGUCUUCGAUGGAUAGGGGUCCUGAGAGGAAGGUCCCCCACAUUGGAACUGAGACACGGUCCAAACUCCUACGGGAGGCAGCAGUGAGGAAUAUUGGUCAAUGGGCGAGAGCCUGAACCAGCCAAGUAGCGUGAAGGAUGACUGCCCUAUGGGUUGUAAACUUCUUUUAUAAAGGAAUAAAGUCGGGUAUGGAUACCCGUUUGCAUGUACUUUAUGAAUAAGGAUCGGCUAACUCCGUGCCAGCAGCCGCGGUAAUACGGAGGAUCCGAGCGUUAUCCGGAUUUAUUGGGUUUAAAGGGAGCGUAGAUGGAUGUUUAAGUCAGUUGUGAAAGUUUGCGGCUCAACCGUAAAAUUGCAGUUGAUACUGGAUAUCUUGAGUGCAGUUGAGGCAGGCGGAAUUCGUGGUGUAGCGGUGAAAUGCUUAGAUAUCACGAAGAACUCCGAUUGCGAAGGCAGCCUGCUAAGCUGCAACUGACAUUGAGGCUCGAAAGUGUGGGUAUCAAACAGGAUUAGAUACCCUGGUAGUCCACACGGUAAACGAUGAAUACUCGCUGUUUGCGAUAUACUGCAAGCGGCCAAGCGAAAGCGUUAAGUAUUCCACCUGGGGAGUACGCCGGCAACGGUGAAACUCAAAGGAAUUGACGGGGGCCCGCACAAGCGGAGGAACAUGUGGUUUAAUUCGAUGAUACGCGAGGAACCUUACCCGGGCUUAAAUUGCAGAUGAAUUACGGUGAAAGCCGUAAGCCGCAAGGCAUCUGUGAAGGUGCUGCAUGGUUGUCGUCAGCUCGUGCCGUGAGGUGUCGGCUUAAGUGCCAUAACGAGCGCAACCCUUGUUGUCAGUUACUAACAGGUUCCGCUGAGGACUCUGACAAGACUGCCAUCGUAAGAUGUGAGGAAGGUGGGGAUGACGUCAAAUCAGCACGGCCCUUACGUCCGGGGCUACACACGUGUUACAAUGGGGGGUACAGAGGGCCGCUACCACGCGAGUGGAUGCCAAUCCCCAAAACCUCUCUCAGUUCGGACUGGAGUCUGCAACCCGACUCCACGAAGCUGGAUUCGCUAGUAAUCGCGCAUCAGCCACGGCGCGGUGAAUACGUUCCCGGGCCUUGUACACACCGCCCGUCAAGCCAUGGGAGCCGGGGGUACCUGAAGUGCGUAACCGCGAGGAGCGCCCUAGGGUAAAACUGGUGACUGGGGCUAAG